AUAACAGGUCUGUGAUGCCCUUAGAUGUUCUGGGCCGCACGCGCGCUACACUGACUGGUUCAACGAGUUGUUAUUCCUUUGCUCCGAAAGGCAUGGGUAAUCUGUGAACGCCAGUCGUGAUGGGGAUAGAUUCUUGGAAUUAAAAUCUUCAACGAGGAAUUCCUAGUAAACGCAUGUCAUCAACAUGCAUUGAUUACGUCCCUGCCCUUUGUACACACCGCCCGUCGCACCUACCGAUUGAAUGGUCCGGUGAAAUUUUCGGAUCGUGACCCCAUCCUUCACGGGACGGGGGCACGAAAAGUUAAUUAAACCUUACCAUUUAGAGGAAGGUGAAGUCGUAACAAGGUUUCCGUAGGUGAACCUGCAGAAGGAUCA
This 375-nucleotide ribosomal RNA is filed under the name uncultured marine eukaryote. RNAcentral describes it as "SSU rRNA". It matches the Rfam family "Eukaryotic small subunit ribosomal RNA", at positions 1453 to 1828 of the family's 1831-position model. The record is from RNAcentral.